This 71-nucleotide transfer RNA is filed under the name Cavia porcellus (domestic guinea pig). The stretch from base 6 to 66 matches the Rfam family "tRNA", at positions 6 to 65 of the family's 71-position model. From Rfam's summary of the family: Transfer RNA (tRNA) molecules are approximately 80 nucleotides in length. Their secondary structure includes four short double-helical elements and three loops (D, anti-codon, and T loops). The record is from Rfam by way of RNAcentral. Lineage: Eukaryota; Metazoa; Chordata; Mammalia; Rodentia; Caviidae.
GAGGAUGUGGCUCAGUGGAAAGGCUUGUGCCUUGUAUGCACAAGAUCCUGGGUUCAACCCCCAGCACCACA